RNAcentral lists this long non-coding RNA (1610 nucleotides) under Eucalyptus grandis. RNAcentral's name for it is "long non-coding RNA (EGRA_LNC000621)". Lineage: Eukaryota; Viridiplantae; Streptophyta; Magnoliopsida; Myrtales; Myrtaceae. The record is from RNAcentral.
GGCACGAAAUUCCGAUCACCGACCAUCCAGGUUGAAUUUCUGGAAAAAUAAAUAAAUAAGUAAUUAAUUUCGAAAAUUAAUAAAUAAAUACUAAAAAUUCAAUUUAGCCUGAUUGAAGCCCGAAACGGGUCGGGAAAAAUCCCGAGAUGCAUUUGAUAAAUAAUAGUACGUCUCUACUUGCUAAUUGCACAAUUCAAUUGUCUAACAUGCAUCACAAUUAUCUAAUAAUCAUUAAUCUACUCUAAUCUAACCACCUAAUUGCACUUAAUUAAAUUUAGUCAACCCUUAAACAUAAGUAGCAAACUAAGAAAGUAUUAGUGAGUAAAACUCACUUAAUUAAAAGUGGGGAUCGGGACACCGCGACGACGACGCGACGGCGGCCGAAAUCCAAACUUUCGGUGGCGUUGGCGAAUACUCGGGCCAGGCUCAACAGGCCUUGCAAGCCCACGGAAAAUUCUGGGCUUGGUUGAUGGGCUUGGGCCUCAAAAACUGGGCUGCUGGACUGAGGUUCACUUGGGCCAAAAACUGAAGAUGGGCUACACUUGUAGACUUGGGCUCCAAAGGCUGAAUUUCGCAUGGGCUGUAGCUUGACUCCUUGGGCUGAAUUGCUGAAAUCGUGUGGGCUGAAGAUGGGCCUGCUGCAGGCUUGGAUCCAAGUGAAGAUGGGCUAAGACUUGAGUGGACUGAGCUUAAAACUUGGACUUCAUUUUGCUGGGCUGAUGGGCCCGAGCAAAGGAGCGGCAAGGGCUGAAAUUGGCUGACUCAAUUCUCUGGACUCAACUGGGCUGCUGGUGGGCCGAAGACACUGGAAUCCACGGCUUGCUUCGUGCGAUUCACACGGCCAGAUGGAGACAGCAAGCGAGGCAGGAGGAUCGAAGAUGGCAGAAGCAGCUGCUGGCAUCCGUUGGUGGGUGUCGCGGUCAAAGAUGGGAGAAGUAGUUGGUUCGUUGACCCGCGUGGGGACAGCGAGAGGGAGAGAAAACCGGUGGGCUUCGGUCGUUGGUGGGCUUGGUCUGGCGAUGCAGGCGUGAGGCUCCGUGGAACGUGGGCUGAACGUGGCAGAGCUGGAAGAGACGCACGCGGGCAGCAAAGUCUUCGAAGGAGGGAGCUUCGGUGGACGUUGCUAGGGGUCUUCGGUGGCAGCAAAUGGGGCAGGAGAUGAAGACACGACACUGAAGCUGUUGCUGGGUGAGUGGGGGCUUCACACGGUCAACAAAUGAGCUCUACUUGCAAGGAUGUUGACUGAAAUUCGGUGGAUGGCUGCGUGAGGAACGCUCGGUGGAUCGUGGCUUCCCUUCUGUGAUGCUGCAGACUUCGGGCGGACUAAUAAAAGAGAAGAACGAAAGCAAAGCAAAGACCGAAGCUCCAAGACGUGCAGAGGAAGAUAGAAGUGUGUGGAUGAAAGUAUCGGUCAAAUAAAGCAGAAAAAAUAGAGAGCUUUGACUAAAAUCAAAGCAAUCGAGAGAGGAGGGGAAAUGGGUUACGGCAGGGGGAGAGAGACGUCGGUGGGGGGAAAAUUUCGCACGAGGAGAGAGAGAGAGAGAGUAGUGGGCGUGGGGAAGUCGGCCAAAAGAGGGAAAAUAGAGAUAGAAAGGAAAAAUUAAAAGAAC